CUUGCAUUAUGGCCACAUUCUGCAUAGAGAGCCUGUGGUGAUUGAUGAUCCAGAACAGAAAGUGAGCCAGGAUGUGUUGACCCUUCCUUCCUUACCCAGGAAUGGGACCCUCAGAUGUUUCUUGUCUGUUCUGUGACCAUGAAUGUCCUCACUGUUGCUCUGUUCCUUGCUGAUCCCUGCUCCUGUUACACAAACAAGUCCAGAGGACAGCACGCAGAAACUCACUGCCAUUUAGAGCCGACAUUCUCAGAUCCCAAGUGAGAGGUAGGGUCAUUACUAGUUUGCCUUCAGUUUUUUGUUUUCACAAACAAACAUUAAAGUGCAGUGGGGAGCAUGCUCAUAAAUCCAAAGCAUAUUUGAUUAAAGGAUAUCUCAGCCCAUGUUCAACCUCUACCCAUCAGUUCUGCCCCCGACUUUCAGGCCGUUCAUCUCAGGAAGCACAAAACGAAAACCUUCUGGGUAUGUAGAAAUGUGCUGAGCUGGGUUCUGUGACAGGUCAUUUACUUUGGAGGUUUUCCAGUGACCUUUUUAGCAAGAGUCACAUGUAAGAGUAUGACAAUAUAUGAGAUAACACAGGAAGAAAAUGUCGAGGGGAUGCUCUACUCGUCUGUGUAAAGUGACAUGGACAGUGACAUGGGAAGCCUCUGAGACAAGCCGAUGACAAAUGGCACUGUGGAUGAUGUAAUCCGUUGUUUCUAUCUUACAUGAAAGGCUAAAAAUGAAGGUUCUGAGUAUCUGCCUGAAAACAUUGGGGAGCAGAUGAAAAGAAGAAGCUGAGAGGCAAGAGAGGGACGAGGAACCAGAAGCAAAAGUGGAAGGAAUGAACUAGAACACAGAGCCAGCAAGGAGGGACAGACUACAGGCUAGAGAAGGUUCUUCCGGCAGACCAUGAGAGCAGCUGAAUUUCUGGCAAGGCUUAUUAAGGAAGACAGAGAAAGAAAAACAAAGAUCACAGUCAGUAAAAUGGACAGAAUACCAGAUCCAGCAGACUCUGCACAGUCAGUGGGGAUACUGUCAGUGAGCUGAGUCUGUGUCACGAAUAAAAGAUGGAGACAACUGAACAGUGCGCUUUGUAGCAAUGCAGGUAACUGAUUAAAAACUUGCUUAGAAUACG
This is a long non-coding RNA of Mastomys coucha (southern multimammate mouse), 1114 nucleotides long. RefSeq lists it as uncharacterized. The record is from RefSeq and is a predicted model, not a curated record. NCBI's taxonomy places the organism in Eukaryota, Metazoa, Chordata, Mammalia, Rodentia, Muridae. The transcript is spliced from 2 exons.